This 511-nucleotide ribosomal RNA is filed under the name Bacillus licheniformis. Its description in RNAcentral is "bacterial SSU rRNA". It matches the Rfam family "Bacterial small subunit ribosomal RNA", at positions 56 to 547 of the family's 1533-position model. The record is from RNAcentral. Lineage: Bacteria; Bacillati; Bacillota; Bacilli; Caryophanales; Bacillaceae.
UGCAAGUCGAGCGGACCGACGGGAGCUUGCUCCCUUAGGUCAGCGGCGGACGGGUGAGUAACACGUGGGUAACCUGCCUGUAAGACUGGGAUAACUCCGGGAAACCGGGGCUAAUACCGGAUGCUUGAUUGAACCGCAUGGUUCAAUCAUAAAAGGUGGCUUUCAGCUACCACUUGCAGAUGGACCCGCGGCGCAUUAGCUAGUUGGUGAGGUAACGGCUCACCAAGGCGACGAUGCGUAGCCGACCUGAGAGGGUGAUCGGCCACACUGGGACUGAGACACGGCCCAGACUCCUACGGGAGGCAGCAGUAGGGAAUCUUCCGCAAUGGACGAAAGUCUGACGGAGCAACGCCGCGUGAGUGAUGAAGGUUUUCGGAUCGUAAAACUCUGUUGUUAGGGAAGAACAAGUACCGUUCGAAUAGGGCGGUACCUUGACGGUACCUAACCAAAAAGCCACGGCUAACUACGUGCCAGCAGCCGCGGUAAUACAUAGGUGGCAAGCUGUUGUCCG